GAAAUAUGCAGUGCACGAAAUCGGGUGCAAUGACAACAAGUGAAAGUAAAAUAUUUAAGCCAGCAAAUCCAAUGACAACCAAACAGCCGGGGGAAGCAAACAAGAAAGUAUGAGCAUACUGGCUCUAAAAGGAGUCUGCCUGGGGAGAAAGCGGAGGCGGGCAGUGCCUACAAAGGAAGCCAAAUCCAGCAGGAGAAACCAGUGGUGGUGUACGGUGAAGAUGAGAACCAGGAGAGCAGUGCCAGAGAGGGGGCUCUGAAGAUCACACUGCACAUCCUGAGGAACAUGAACCAGAAAGAGCUCACUGACACACUGGAGAACAAUCUUUUAGGUGAGCUUGCUGAGUGUCAACCUAAACUCAACUUUAACAAAAGGAAGUUUGAAUGAGUGUUUGAAGGAAUGGCUACACAAGGAAACCCAACACUUCUCAAUCAGAUCUACACCGAGCUCUACAUUCACAGAGGGUGGAAGUGGAGAGGGCAUUAAUGAACAUGAGAUGCCUGUGAGCCAACACUGGACGCAAACACGGCACACAGAAAACUCUGUCAGAGGGGAACAUGGGGGAGAGAAGAGCAGCCGUAUCCUGAUCACCCAGAGAGAUGUGAGGGCUGUUGGCAGGUGCUGUGUAAAGAGGGUCUGAAUAGGCGCAGUUAUUGGGAGUCGGAUCGAAGAGGAAAUGGGAGUGACAGAGAAACAUCGGCAGGAGUGGAGAGUGACUGUUGGCUUCGACGUAAUGACAAGUCCUGGAGUUUGCGAUGCUUUGACAACAGUUACAUCGCCUUCCAUAAUGCUAGGAGUAUUGCUUUACCUGCUCCCUCGUCUUAUUCGAACAGAGUAGGAGUGCAUCUGGACUGGCUGGCACUCUGUCCUCCUACAGUGUCUCCUCUGGUACACUGAACAAUUCGCAUACAUUCUACUCCACAUUUUCUAACCCUCUUUACCCAGGGUUUAGGGUUGGGAAUGAUGACAGUGUGCCUGUGUCAGGUAGAGCAGCCUCCAAUUUGAAACUCAGGCCAGAAUUCCAUCUAGUUGUUUUUGGCAUUGCGGUGUUAGAAGUAUGUUCACGUUGCAGUGCAACGGUUUCGCUCCAGACUUGAUACUCGAUUUAGAACCUGGUUUUAGUGGAAGCCCUGGUAGGAUGUCGAGUUACCCACCCUCCCUUCUAUUUUUAUCUUGAUAAUUCAUUGCAGUCACGCAGAUUUUAAAUCUGUGACACACUGCUGUGCAAAUCAAACAAUUUCGGUGACCUUAAAUAAAAUGGCAUUUCUUUUUCUUUUCUACUCUGCUUCACCUACAGCAAACAACAUUUUUGGUUUUGUUGAAUUUAGGAGUUAAGCAUCCUGAGUGAGAGAAUGUGUUUUAUCUGGAAUAAAAAUCUAAGAUGUGUCCAGAUCACAGCCUUAAACACCACUUGUAAUUUAGGAAAUAUGUGUUUAACAUUAAUGUAGGCUAAUUGAGUUAUAAAUCACAUACUAUAGCCAGAUCUCCAGGCCAUUGAACUUCUGUUACCUGGUCUCAGAGCCACAAACCAUUUUAUGUAGUGAAAGUGUCUGGAUGAAAAAUGCUGUUGAGGAGAAUGUGACAGUUUUGGCUGAGAGACCACUGAAAAUGUUAUCCCGCGAGAUAGUGAUGCGAUAAAUACAUGUAAGUAACUACUACCGUCCCAAGAUGAGUGGCGGUUAUGACAUCAGCAGCACUAUCUAUUAUGCAUCCUCGUCGGAUAAAGAGUACUUCCCCUAAAUUUGGGUAGGAAAAAUGUACUUUACUUGCCCAUAUACUACACAGAGCGGGGAAAAAAAUAAAAUAAAAGUAUGGCAUUGCCCCAGAUAUUCUGUAUUUCACACAAUAAUCCUACAGUAAAAUCAUAAUCAAUACUCAGUCUGCCUGUACUUUAAUAUAUUCUUUAUUUUCUUAAACAAAAUUGAAGUAAAAACCUUUAUGUAGAAAGACAAAUUCCCUGUCAGUAGCGUUCUUGAUUUAGGGCCUCCAGUAGACUCCAGUCUAUUGGGUGGUUCUUUUCUACUGUGUGAGUCAACGUAAGAAUAUUACACCACAGAGUGAGUACCAUCUCUAACUCCCUACUAGCUCAUGAAUUAACUCACUAACUUGUGAAUUAACUCAUGCAGACUUUCGAGAAACACAGUGGGAAGAAUGUUAACAGCAAAUAGUGUUAAAAGAAAGUUAAAAACAGCAGUGUCCAUUACAAAGGCUGAAGAAAGAAAGCAAACAUGUGAGCAGGUGAGCUGUAUAGUACACAUCGUUGUCCAGUCACCUCUGGCAGUGUUUUCAACUAGUAUUGAAAAUUGGGGGGAAAGAAAAGAAAAAAGGAAUCUACAUGAUUAUCGUCACAAAAUAAAAUCUCUUUGGCAUAGAUUACCCACCCGAAAAGCGCACACAACAUUAAAACGUACUUGACUAAAAACCUGUGCAUCAUCAUCAUUCUUAGAAAACAGAAGGUAAGCCCUGUUAGAUUCUGAGCCCCAGUCAGUGAUAAUUGCAUAUACUACAUCGAGGUGAGCAGAGACAGAUUGACAUCACUCCAUUUGAAGAUUCACUGUGAUUUCUCCUCUUCCUCUGCCACGCCCCCGCUUCUCUCCUCUUCUUCUGCCCCCCCCCCGCUUCUCUCCUUUUCUGCUGCUCCCCCCAUCUCUCCUCUCAUCCCUUCAGUGCCUGUCGAGAGAACAGCAUC
Molecule: long non-coding RNA, 2689 nt
Organism: Oncorhynchus gorbuscha (pink salmon)
Lineage: Eukaryota; Metazoa; Chordata; Actinopteri; Salmoniformes; Salmonidae
Exons: 5
Source: RefSeq, a predicted model, not a curated record